CGUCAAGCUUUAUUGACCAUCUUCAAUACAGACAUUAGAACUAAAACACAACGCAACAACCAGAGAAUCCAACAACAGUAUCUAAGGCUGCAGACUGCUUUGAAAACCUAGGACAGUACACUGAGGGACUUCGUUUGACAGAGGGAUCUGUACCUACUGUCCGUGCCAAGUCACAAGAUGAGAGACAUACUCUACCUGGCUUCUCUGCAUUACAAUGAGGAUGCUGCACGAGACCAGGCCACCUUCUCCUCUGGGGACCCUCUCUACAGGAUGCAUUUCCCAAAGGUAUGUGGAAGACUUGAUGGGCUUCAUCAUGGGCGAGGUCUUUGUGGACCAAGAAGCAUACAGGGAGGAACUCCUGAAAAUAAGCAAAAAAAAACUCUGUCCUCAGAGUUUGAGCACCCAGAGAAGGAGGAGGUGAUCGCCAACUACAGUAUGUGUCUCGCUUCAAUCCAGGGGAGGCAGUUUGAAGCCCACGUAUUGUCCUUGGCUGUCAGGAAACUCCCGACGAACACGCAGGACCACACAUGACGGGAUGACGACCCUUAUUCUGCAUCCAAGGAAUCCCCAACACCAACUGACAAAGCUCCUGUAGGCAAGCUAUCUGUAACGACUAAAAAAAAAAAAAACAUUGCAGUAGUUAGCAGGUUACAUAAUCUGUCAGUUCUGUCAAAAGUGCAAAGUGCAAUUGUCAUAUUGCAUAUGUCAUGUUUUAUUUCUGUUUUGUGUAAUAAAUAUAUUGUAAUGUCUUAAAU
Molecule: long non-coding RNA, 755 nt
Organism: Alosa sapidissima (American shad)
Lineage: Eukaryota; Metazoa; Chordata; Actinopteri; Clupeiformes; Clupeidae
Exons: 4
Source: RefSeq, a predicted model, not a curated record